GAAGAGGACAGAAACUGAGAGAC
Molecule: non-coding RNA, 23 nt
Filed under: Cricetulus griseus (Chinese hamster)
Lineage: Eukaryota; Metazoa; Chordata; Mammalia; Rodentia; Cricetidae
Source: RNAcentral